This 275-nucleotide ribosomal RNA is filed under the name uncultured Roseomonas sp. RNAcentral describes it as "partial 16S ribosomal RNA". It matches the Rfam family "Bacterial small subunit ribosomal RNA", at positions 338 to 630 of the family's 1533-position model. Lineage: Bacteria; Pseudomonadati; Pseudomonadota; Alphaproteobacteria; Acetobacterales; Roseomonadaceae. The record is from RNAcentral.
CCUACGGGUGGCUGCAGUGGGGAAUAUUGGACAAUGGGCGCAAGCCUGAUCCAGCAAUUCCGCGUGGGUGAAGAAGGUCUUCGGAUUGUAAAGCCCUUUCGGCGGGGACGAUGAUGACGGUACCCGCAGAAGAAGCCCCGGCUAACUUCGUGCCAGCAGCCGCGGUAAUACGAAGGGGGCUAGCGUUGCUCGGAAUUACUGGGCGUAAAGGGCGCGUAGGCGGCGCAUUUGGUCAGGCGUGAAAUUCCCGGGCUCAACCUGGGGGCUGCGCUUGA